This 168-nucleotide ribosomal RNA is filed under the name uncultured bacterium. RNAcentral's name for it is "partial 16S ribosomal RNA". The stretch from base 35 to 168 matches the Rfam family "Bacterial small subunit ribosomal RNA", at positions 401 to 526 of the family's 1533-position model. The record is from RNAcentral.
GCGGUGGAGGCGCAGCGCUGAUCAAGGGAGCAGCGUGCACGGACGAAGGCCUUCGGGUUGUAAACCGCUUUCAGCCGGAAAGAAAUCGCCAAGGUUAAUACCUUUGGUGGAUGACGGUACCGGAAGAAGAAGCACCGGCUAACUACGUGCCAGCAGCCGCGGUAAUAA